GACGAACGCUGGCGGCGUGCUUAACACAUGCAAGUCGAACGGAAAGGCCCUGCUUGCAGGGUACUCGAGUGGCGAACGGGUGAGUAACACGUGGGUGAUCUGCCCUGCACUUCGGGAUAAGCUUGGGAAACUGGGUCUAAUACCGGAUAGGAGCCAUCUUUAGUGUGGUGGUUGGAAAGUUUUUUCGGUGUAGGAUGAGCUCGCGGCCUAUCAGCUUGUUGGUGGGGUAAUGGCCUACCAAGGCGGCGACGGGUAGCCGGCCUGAGAGGGUGUACGGCCACAUUGGGACUGAGAUACGGCCCAGACUCCUACGGGAGGCAGCAGUGGGGAAUAUUGCACAAUGGGCGCAAGCCUGAUGCAGCGACGCCGCGUGGGGGAUGAAGGCCUUCGGGUUGUAAACUCCUUUCGGUAGGGACGAAGCUUUUUUGUGACGGUACCUAGAGAAGAAGCACCGGCUAACUACGUG
This 466-nucleotide ribosomal RNA is filed under the name uncultured bacterium. RNAcentral's name for it is "partial 16S ribosomal RNA". It matches the Rfam family "Bacterial small subunit ribosomal RNA", at positions 28 to 507 of the family's 1533-position model. The record is from RNAcentral.